Molecule: transfer RNA, 74 nt
Filed under: Candidatus Woesebacteria bacterium CG_4_10_14_0_2_um_filter_39_14
Lineage: Bacteria; Candidatus Woeseibacteriota
Description: tRNA-Gln
Rfam family: tRNA
About the family: Transfer RNA (tRNA) molecules are approximately 80 nucleotides in length. Their secondary structure includes four short double-helical elements and three loops (D, anti-codon, and T loops).
Source: RNAcentral
UAGGGGGUGGUCUAAUGGUAGGACCGCAGGUUUUGGACUUGUGUAUCUGGGUUCGAAUCCUAGCCCCCUAGCAA